RNAcentral lists this unclassified non-coding RNA (345 nucleotides) under soil metagenome. RNAcentral describes it as "partial contains 5.8S ribosomal RNA, internal transcribed spacer 2, and large subunit ribosomal RNA". The stretch from base 1 to 119 matches the Rfam family "5.8S ribosomal RNA", at positions 35 to 154 of the family's 154-position model. The record is from RNAcentral.
GAUGAAGAACGUAGCGAAAUGCGAUACGUAAUGUGAAUUGCAAAUUCAGUGAAUCAUCGAGUCUUUGAACGCACAUUGCGCCCCCUGGUAUUCCGGGGGGCAUGCCUGUCCGAGCGUCAUUGCUGCCCUCAAGCACGGCUUGUGUGUUGGGCCCCGUCCUCCGAUCCCGGGGGACGGGCCCGAAAGGCAGCGGCGGCACCGCGUCCGGUUCUCGAGCGUAUGGGGCUUUGUCACCCGCUCUGUAGGCCCGGCCGGCGCUUGCCGAUCAACCCAAAUUUUUAUCCAGGUUGACCUCGGAUCAGGUAGGGAUACCCGCUGAACUUAAGCAUAUCAAUAAGCGGAGGA